This 317-nucleotide RNase P RNA is filed under the name Saitoella complicata NRRL Y-17804. RNAcentral's name for it is "Nuclear RNase P". It matches the Rfam family "Nuclear RNase P". Rfam says of the family: Ribonuclease P (RNase P) is a ubiquitous endoribonuclease, found in archaea, bacteria and eukarya as well as chloroplasts and mitochondria. Its best characterised activity is the generation of mature 5'-ends of tRNAs by cleaving the 5'-leader elements of precursor-tRNAs. Cellular RNase Ps are ribonucleoproteins. Lineage: Eukaryota; Fungi; Ascomycota; Saitoellomycetes; Saitoellales; Saitoellaceae. The record is from Rfam by way of RNAcentral.
GCACCGUCGAAUGCCGUACUUCCUCGCUACACACACGGAAAGGAUAGAGGCCCUUGGGUUGAUAUCCUCUCUUUUCACGCGAGGGGGCUAAGGUCGGAGAAUCUCCCUCAUACAACUCGACUCAGUCGUGUUAGCUCUCGAAGGGCCUGGCCUUAACAGGCUUGUGACAGUAACAGAAAGACACGGUCCCUCCUGCAAAGGAUGACGGAUCUUGGGAGGCUGUCGCGGGGGUUGUUUGCUGAGAAGCAACUUCAGUGCAAUGUACGGCGUCUCAUCCUCGGAUGUGAUAACUCAAUUCCGACUAUUCUCGGGGGUGC